RNAcentral lists this long non-coding RNA (512 nucleotides) under Helianthus annuus (common sunflower). RNAcentral describes it as "hypothetical non coding rna". Lineage: Eukaryota; Viridiplantae; Streptophyta; Magnoliopsida; Asterales; Asteraceae. The record is from RNAcentral.
UCGCCUCUCUCUUUUCCCCUGAAAACCCUAUCGCCUGCCGAGUCUUUGGUCUUCAAUUGAAAAUGAACCGUCGCCUUCCAACGGUUUCACUCGCCCCUCUACUCUUUAAUAUCUAUACCGAUUAGAGAAAAAGACGAGUUGGAGAGAGAGAGAUGGAGCUACAGAUGCAGAAAGAGAGAAUAUGAGGGAUCCGAUCGGUGGUUCCGACGACCGGUCUACAGCGUCACAGCCACCACCAUGACAACAUCAGCGACAUACAGAGUAGUCUUUCGUUACCACGCUUGGUUUCAAACCCUAAUUUUUCUUUUCAUCAUAUGAUCUGUUUAUUUUGGGUUUCUUUUACGCCGACAGAGUUGGUAUAGGGCUCCAAUGGAGUUCCAGUCGACAACCCUAAGUGUUUGUUUGAUAGAUGAAUUAAAACAUGAUGGUAUAAUCUCUUGUGAAUAUAUCCAUAUCUACAACGUCAACGAGUGAAUUAAUGGAGGAAGUAAGAGAUCUCUGCAAUUUCUUAC